This 246-nucleotide unclassified non-coding RNA is filed under the name air metagenome. RNAcentral's name for it is "partial contains small subunit ribosomal RNA, internal transcribed spacer 1, and 5.8S ribosomal RNA". The stretch from base 1 to 46 matches the Rfam family "Eukaryotic small subunit ribosomal RNA", at positions 1786 to 1831 of the family's 1831-position model. The record is from RNAcentral.
AAGUCGUAACAAGGUUUCCGUAGGUGAACCUGCGGAAGGAUCAUUAUCGAAAUUAAGUAGGGAGUUGAUGCUGGCAGGUCCUUGCAUGUGCUCACUCUCUUUUUAAUCCACUUUCACAUGUGCACUUGAUUUUUUCCAGGGCCUCUGUGCCUUGGUCUUACAAACUCUUAUUUAAUGUUAACUGAAUGUUUAUCUGCCGAAAGGCAAAGUCUUAUACAACUUUUAACAACGGAUCUCUUGGCUCUC